This 507-nucleotide ribosomal RNA is filed under the name uncultured bacterium. RNAcentral's name for it is "partial 16S ribosomal RNA". It matches the Rfam family "Bacterial small subunit ribosomal RNA", at positions 28 to 523 of the family's 1533-position model. The record is from RNAcentral.
GAUGAACGCUAGCUACAGGCUUAACACAUGCAAGUCGAGGGGAAACGAUAGAGAAAGCUUGCUUUUUCUAGGCGUCGACCGGCGCACGGGUGAGUAACGCGUAUCCAACCUGCCAUCACUUGGGGAUAACCUUGCGAAAGUAAGACUAAUACCCAAUGAUAUCUCUAGAAGACAUCUGAAGGAGAUUAAAGAUUUAUCGGUGAUGGAUGGGGAUGCGUCUGAAUAGCUUGUUGGCGGGGUAAGGGCCCACCAAGGCGACGAUCAGUAGGGGUUCUGAGAGGAAGGUCUCCCACAUUGGAACUAAGACACGGUCCAAACUCCCACGGGAGGCAGCAGUGAGGAAUAUUGGUCAAUGGGCGAGAGCCUGAACCAGCCAAGUAGCGUGCAGGAUGACGGCCCUAUGGGUUGUAAACUGCUUUUAUAAGGGAAUAAAGUGAGUCUCGUGAGGCUUUUUGCAUGUACCUUAUGAAUAAGGACCGGCUAAUUCCGUGCCAGCCGCCGCGGUAA